GUGGUUGUGGCUCAGUAGUAGACUGCUUGCCUAGCAGGCAUGAGGACCUGGGUUCAAUCCUCAGCACCACA
RNAcentral lists this transfer RNA (71 nucleotides) under Urocitellus parryii (Arctic ground squirrel). Its description in RNAcentral is "Spermophilus parryii (Arctic ground squirrel) tRNA". It matches the Rfam family "tRNA". From Rfam's summary of the family: Transfer RNA (tRNA) molecules are approximately 80 nucleotides in length. Lineage: Eukaryota; Metazoa; Chordata; Mammalia; Rodentia; Sciuridae. RNAcentral also lists the same sequence under 1 other name. The record is from Rfam by way of RNAcentral.